Molecule: long non-coding RNA, 659 nt
Organism: Salvelinus namaycush (lake trout)
Lineage: Eukaryota; Metazoa; Chordata; Actinopteri; Salmoniformes; Salmonidae
Exons: 5
Source: RefSeq, a predicted model, not a curated record
GAAACCCAGGAGAACACCCAGGAAGUCACGGUCGUUGACUUGCAGGACAUUAAUAGUAGUCACAGAUAGACUGACACUGUGGCCAGUGAGACUGCGAGGGGACUGUUUUAGUAAGCUACCCAUCUGUGUUCCUGUGGCUGAAGACAAGGCAAUGACAGAGUAUUAUGUCAUACUCCCAAGGAGGAUGAGCUGGCCAAUCAGUAGUCUAGAGGAGGAUGAGCUGGCCAAUAAGCGGUCUACUCACCAAGAUGAUCAUCAAGGACCUCAGCCACCCGAGCAAAGAGUUUAUGUGUCGUGACGGAAUGAGAAUAAAGUCGUACAUUUCACAAUAACCAAAUCCAGGACCCUCAGCCAGUCACCAAUCAUGCUCAGUACAGCAGCGAAAUAGGCCAACCCCACCAGAAUCCAGAACCACACCAGUGGUCUAUACCAAUUACGAUACACGACCCUCCGGUCCCCUCCUAUAGGAUGUAAACAAACAAUGAAACAUUCAGCAUGAUGAGAUACAUAGGUCGUGUUCAGAAGAGCUAACCAUAGAAAAACAUUUUUAAAUGGUAAACAAAAAUGUGUGUUUCUUAUUGGAUAAGUGCAGGUAAUCCCUCCCUGUGUCAGUCCAUUUUCUUCCUUUUGGUGACUAUUAAACAUGACCCUGAUAAACA